UAGCCUGCUCACUGAUAAAUUAUUAAAUAGCCGCGGUAUCUUGACCGUGCAAAGGUAGCAUAAUCAUUAGCUUCUUAAUUGGAAGCUUGUUGAAUGGUUGGACAAAGGAAAAGCUGUCUCUUUUAUUAAAAUUGAAUUUAACUUCUAAGUGAAAAGGCUUAGAUACUUUAGAGGGACGAUAAGACCCUAUAAAGCUUUAUAAAUUUAAAGAUUUUACAUAUUUUAUCUAUAAUGGUAAUCUCUGGAGAAUUUAUUGGGUUGGGGCAACAAAAGUAUAAUUAUCAAUAAUGCUAUAAAAUAAUACAAUUAUCUUUGUGUGGGUAAAUUAGUUGAUCCCUGAAAAGGAUUAAAAGAUCAAGUUACUUUAGGGAUAACAGCGUAAUUUAUCCUGAGAGUUCUUAUCAAAGGAAAAGUUUGCGACCUCGAUGUUGAAUUAAAAUGUCUUUGUAGUGCAGCAGCUACACAAGAAGGUCUGUUCGACCUUUAAUUUUUUACGUGAUCUGAGUUCAAACC
This 513-nucleotide ribosomal RNA is filed under the name Portunus sanguinolentus (three spot swimming crab). Its description in RNAcentral is "partial large subunit ribosomal RNA". It matches the Rfam family "Bacterial large subunit ribosomal RNA", at positions 1855 to 2617 of the family's 2925-position model. Lineage: Eukaryota; Metazoa; Arthropoda; Malacostraca; Decapoda; Portunidae. The record is from RNAcentral.